RNAcentral lists this transfer RNA (70 nucleotides) under Scleropages jardinii (Australian bonytongue). Its description in RNAcentral is "tRNA-His". It matches the Rfam family "tRNA". Rfam says of the family: Transfer RNA (tRNA) molecules are approximately 80 nucleotides in length. Their secondary structure includes four short double-helical elements and three loops (D, anti-codon, and T loops). Further hydrogen bonds mediate the characteristic L-shaped molecular structure. tRNAs have two regions of fundamental functional importance: the anti-codon, which is responsible for specific mRNA codon recognition, and the 3' end, to which the tRNAs corresponding amino acid is attached (by aminoacyl-tRNA synthetases). tRNAs cope with the degeneracy of the genetic code in two manners: having more than one tRNA (with a specific anti-codon) for a particular amino acid; and 'wobble' base-pairing, i.e. permitting non-standard base-pairing at the 3rd anti-codon position. Lineage: Eukaryota; Metazoa; Chordata; Actinopteri; Osteoglossiformes; Osteoglossidae. The record is from RNAcentral.
GCAGUUGUAGUUUAGACUAAAACACUAGACUGUGAUUCUAGAAUCGAGAGUUAAAACCUUUCCAUCUGCU